RNAcentral lists this ribosomal RNA (1368 nucleotides) under uncultured bacterium. RNAcentral's name for it is "bacterial SSU rRNA". It matches the Rfam family "Bacterial small subunit ribosomal RNA", at positions 28 to 1381 of the family's 1533-position model. The record is from RNAcentral.
GACGAACGCUGGCGGCGUGCCUAAUACAUGCAAGUAGAACGCUGAAGAGAGGAGCUUGCUCUUCUUGGAUGAGUUGCGAACGGGUGAGUAACGCGUAGGUAACCUGCCUGGUAGCGGGGGAUAACUAUUGGAAACGAUAGCUAAUACCGCAUAAAAUUGAUUAUUGCAUGAUAAUUAAUUGAAAGAUGCAAUUGCAUCACUACCAGAUGGACCUGCGUUGUAUUAGCUAGUUGGUGAGGUAACGGCUCACCAAGGCGACGAUACAUAGCCGACCUGAGAGGGUGAUCGGCCACACUGGGACUGAGACGCGGCCCAGACUCCUACGGGAGGCAGCAGUAGGGAAUCUUCGGCAAUGGGGGGAACCCUGACCGAGCAACGCCGCGUGAGUGAAGAAGGUUUUCGGAUCGUAGAGCUCUGUUGUAAGAGAAGAACGGGUGUGAGAGUGGAAAGUUCACACUGUGACGGUAUCUUACCAGAAAGGGACGGCUAACUACGUGCCAGCAGCCGCGGUAAUACGUAGGUCCCGAGCGUUGUCCGGAUUUAUUGGGCGUAAAGCGAGCGCAGGCGGUUAGAUAAGUCUGAAGUUAAGGCUGUGGCUUAACCAUAGUAUGCUUUGGAAACUGUUUAACUUGAGUGCAGAAGGGGAGAGUGGAAUUCCAUGUGUAGCGGUGAAAUGCGUAGAUAUAUGGAGGAACACCGGUGGCGAAAGCGGCUCUCUGGUCUGUAACUGACGCUGAGGCUCGAAAGCGUGGGGAGCAAACAGGAUUAGAUACCCUGGUAGUCCACGCCGUAAACGAUGAGUGCUAGGUGUUAGGCCCUUUCCGGGGCUUAGUGCCGCAGCUAACGCAUUAAGCACUCCGCCUGGGGAGUACGACCGCAAGGUUGAAACUCAAAGGAAUUGACGGGGGCCCGCACAAGCGGUGGAGCAUGUGGUUUAAUUCGAAGCAACGCGAAGAACCUUACCAGGUCUUGACAUCCCUCUGAUCGCUCUAGAGAUAGAGUUUUCCUUCGGGACAGAGGUGACAGGUGGUGCAUGGUUGUCGUCAGCUCGUGUCGUGAGCUGUUGGGUUAAGUCCCGCAACGAGCGCGACCCCUAUUGUUAGUUGCCAUCAUUCAGUUGGGCACUCUAGCGAGACUGCCGGUAAUAAACCGGAGGAAGGUGGGGAUGACGUCAAAUCAUCAUGCCCCUUAUGACCUGGGCUACACACGUGCUACAAUGGCUGGUACAACGAGUCGCAAGCCGGUGACGGCAAGCUAAUCUCUGAAAGCCAGUCUCAGUUCGGAUUGUAGGCUGCAACUCGCCUACAUGAAGUCGGAAUCGCUAGUAAUCGCGGAUCAGCACGCCGCGGUGAAUACGUUCCCGGGCCU